UUUCCGUAGGUGAACCUGCGGAAGGAUCAUUACCAAAACAAAGGCACUGGCGUGUCCCUGGUGCAGCGCUAGUUGGCUCGAAAGAGCCAACGCUUGCUGCAUAAAAGCGACCGCCAGUCUCUUCUACAAACCCCAUAAUGUGAACAUUGUUUAAAAGCGGCCAGAGCAGUGCAUGCAAAUGCGCCGUUCGAGCCGCUUUAUCAACGCCAACCCAACAUACAAAUACUACAACCUGUUGGUCUAAAAACUGCUUUUGUUUUUUGGAAGUCGAAUUCGACAACCAUCAAAAAUCAUAAACAACUUUUAACAACGGAUCUCUAGGCUCUC
RNAcentral lists this unclassified non-coding RNA (327 nucleotides) under plant metagenome. Its description in RNAcentral is "partial contains small subunit ribosomal RNA, internal transcribed spacer 1, and 5.8S ribosomal RNA". The record is from RNAcentral.